This 253-nucleotide ribosomal RNA is filed under the name uncultured bacterium. Its description in RNAcentral is "partial 16S ribosomal RNA". It matches the Rfam family "Bacterial small subunit ribosomal RNA", at positions 524 to 776 of the family's 1533-position model. The record is from RNAcentral.
UACGUAGGUGGCAAGCGUUGUCCGGAUUUACUGGGCGUAAAGAGCGCGCAGGCGGUCGUUCAAGUCGCGUGUGAAAGCCCCCGGCUCAACUGGGGAGGGUCACGCGAUACUGAUCGACUCGAAGGCAGGAGAGGGAAGUGGAAUUCCCGGUGUAGUGGUGAAAUGCGUAGAUAUCGGGAGGAACACCAGUGGCGAAGGCGACUUCCUGGCCUGUUCCUGACGCUGAGGCGCGAAAGCUAGGGGAGCAAACGGG